Molecule: long non-coding RNA, 278 nt
Organism: Sinocyclocheilus grahami
Lineage: Eukaryota; Metazoa; Chordata; Actinopteri; Cypriniformes; Cyprinidae
Exons: 3
Source: RefSeq, a predicted model, not a curated record
CAGACUCUCCCUAGAGCUGCAGUUCCAGAAGAGACUGGAGGAGUUCCAGCAGAAUGGUGAAGAGGAUGAUGAUUAUGAGAGCGAUUCGGGGGCAGGACGGAAGUGGUUUCAGACAGGAAGUGAUGUAGUGCGGAACUGUGAAAACACUGAAACGCCCGCUGACCAGCAAAAGGAAAGCCCCUUUACUAAAGAAGCCAGUUUGAAAGACGGAGUCAAAGGUGAAUCUACAGGAUACGACAAAACGUCAUCUGAGAAGUUCCGUUCUGGGUAAGUCUCAA